GCCGGUGUGGCAGAGCGGUUAAAUGCCUCCGCCUGCAAAGCGGAUGCCUGGGGGUUCGACUCCCUCCGCCGGCG
Molecule: transfer RNA, 74 nt
Filed under: Methanoregula sp.
Lineage: Archaea; Methanobacteriati; Methanobacteriota; Methanomicrobia; Methanomicrobiales; Methanoregulaceae
Description: tRNA-Cys
Rfam family: tRNA
About the family: Transfer RNA (tRNA) molecules are approximately 80 nucleotides in length. Their secondary structure includes four short double-helical elements and three loops (D, anti-codon, and T loops).
Source: RNAcentral